CUCCCUAAUGGAGUCAGGUUG
RNAcentral lists this microRNA (21 nucleotides) under Plutella xylostella (diamondback moth). RNAcentral's name for it is "pxy-miR-929". Its record names the gene pxy-miR-929. Lineage: Eukaryota; Metazoa; Arthropoda; Insecta; Lepidoptera; Plutellidae. The record is from miRBase by way of RNAcentral.